AUAUAUUUAGAGAUAAUGUUAAAUUUCUUAAACUCCAAUAUUAACAUUUAUCUUCUAAAAUAAUAUCUUCUUGCCAUAUCUCGAUCUUUUCAUCUCAACCGUCGAUCUCGGUCUAUCUUCGGUUCUUCAUAUCAUAAUAUCAUUAUAAUCAGAAUCCGAAUAAC
This 164-nucleotide small RNA is filed under the name Arabidopsis thaliana (thale cress). RNAcentral describes it as "ATSL212090". The record is from RNAcentral. Lineage: Eukaryota; Viridiplantae; Streptophyta; Magnoliopsida; Brassicales; Brassicaceae.